RNAcentral lists this long non-coding RNA (2710 nucleotides) under Canis lupus familiaris (dog). RNAcentral's name for it is "lncRNA (ENSCAFG00845017653.1)". The record is from RNAcentral. Lineage: Eukaryota; Metazoa; Chordata; Mammalia; Carnivora; Canidae.
GGAGCGCGCUGCUGUGCGAGUGGGGUCCGCCGCGCCCUGGCUCUGCCGGUGCCGCCGCCGCCGCCGCCGCCGCCGCCGCCGUCUCGGGGGCCCCGCGCUCGCGCCGCUCCGGCUGCUGCUCUCUCCUGCCGCUGCCGAGGAAACUGACGGCGCUGGAGCGCGGCGGCUGGGCUCGGAGCCCGGGGAGUCAGCUGAUCCAGCCCACCCCGCUCGGCACCCGAGAGAGACCCCUAGCGGAGCCGCCGCGGAGGUGCGCGCGCUCGGCCGGGAGGGGCGGGAGCGGCCGGGAGGGGCCCGCGCCCCCCGCGCGCACAGGUGCGGCGUCCGCGGCUGCUCCGCGGCUGCUCCGCGCCCCGCGCGCCCCCGCCCCGGGGCUCCGCGGGCCUGCGGGAGAGGCUGGGGCGGCGCGAGGGACCGAGCGGGAUCAGGGCAAGCUGUGGCGUCUGCUUUUUGGCAUCUGAGCUCAAUUGCUGUCGUUUCCUUUCCUCCUCUUAUUUUUGCAGGUGAAUUUUGUUUUAAUCAUCAUUUUAGCCAUAUUUUGAGAGAGAACAGAAAAUGUAAACACAUGUUUUCAAUCUGAGUCACUUUUAAAGGGCUGUGUCACUUUUCAAGUCUGCCCUUUCUCUUUGUAUGCAGGAUUAGAUGGUAGUGGUGGAGGAGAAUUUGCAUAAAAAGUCCAGUGCCUUCUGGAAGAGACACCAAUUUUUUCUUUUCAAAAUUCCAUGUUCGGAAACCUUGGCCAUGAUCAAGGGCUGCCGAUGGGAAAGAACACAAAAAAAACCCAGAAAGACGUUCACCUUGAGAAGAGAGUAGACUGUACCACUGACCCAGGGUUUUACUUAUGCUGCUGAAAUCAGGAUUGGCUGCAUGAGGCUGAACAAAAGAACUAUCCCGUCAGCGCCCGAGGAGAUGCACCGAAUCAGUUCUCUAUUGCUGCAUAUCACUGCAUGUGGUUUUUAGCCUUUAUGAGUAAUGUCAUCAAUAUCCUCGUACAUACAUUUUUGCCUAUAUUAUUCAUUUUUUCUCCAUGCACAUUUUACAUGGCUCAUUGUGCCGGAGUACUUCCAGAAAAGUUGCUGCUGCCUUGAACUUAGCAUGAUUUUAUUUGAAGAAAAGGAUUUGCUUAUAAAGACCCUUUAACAAAUGUUUCCAAUUUUGUACAUGAAAGAAAUAUUAAGGUCAUUUGAACCUCUGUUUUUAUUUAAGUAUGAAUGUUUGUUAAGGUUCAGUUUCUAUCUUUGAGAAAAUUAGAAUGCAUUUACAGUAUGGUUAUAGUAUCUGAUUAUUAAUAUUCUGGGAAGAAUAAUGUAUUUUUUAAUGACCUCUGAGAUUUCAUCCUUGCCCAGGUCUAUACUGAUUUAUAGGUAUAUGUUUUACAAGCAUUUUCCUAGGAAAUUCGACCAUAUGGAAGUAGUCUGAUGAUAAAUUUAAAAAAGCCUUUGUUUUCACUUUGUGCUUUUAAAAUUAAUGGAAAUUUGAAGUGUGAGUAGGCUGCUGCUGGUUUGCACCCUUGGCAGUUUCCCAUGUGAAGCUGAAACUGGCCCCCAUAUACCCUAGAGGGUGAAGGAGAAAGAAGAGAAAGAGGCCGGCCACUCCAGGUUAGUGGGUAGCAGGUUAAUAUGCAAGGGAACUUACUUGUUCAGGGCAUCUGCAAGAUAAGUAAAUCUCUGCACCUGCCUGCCAAAAUCUUAAAAAGUUUAUAUGGAGGUCUUAACGAGGUUUAUUCACCUAUUCCAUCCAGAUGGUCUCAAUAACACAUUACUCUCUCAAGGCCAUGUCCUUGAAAUGGUCCCCACUGUGGGAACAAUGUGCAGAAUGAACAUUCCAAGGACAGGGAAGGGGACAAGGAGCCACUGAUGCCUGGGUCCAGCUGAUGGGUCAACCAGUAGUCAUAUCCUCUUGAUGACCUCCCCUAACAGCAGCAUAGCCCUAGAAAAAAAGCAACAAUAAACAUGAGUUUUUUUUUCCCCCUGGUUUUAUUGAGAUAUAAUUGACAUAUAACUUCAUACAAGUUUAAGUUGUACAACCUAAGGAUUUGAUGUAUAUGUAUAUUGUGAAAUGAUCAUCACAGUAACUUUAGCCAAUGUCCACCACCACACAGAGUUAAAAUUUUUUUUCCUUGUCAUGAGAGGGAUCCUUUUAGGAUCUAUUAUCUUAGUAACUUUCAAAUAUGCAAUAUAGUAUUAUUCAUUAUAGUCAUCAUGUUGGUCCCCAGACCUUAUUUAUGUUAUAACUGGAAAUUUGUACCUUUUGAUCCCCUUUGUUCAAUACCCACCCCCCUGCCUGCAAAUCUAAUCUGUUCCUAUUUUUUUUUAUUUUUAAUUUUUUUUUAAAGAUUGUAUUUAUUUAUUUGAGAGAGAGAGAGCAGGAGUCAGAGGGAGGGUCCGAGAGAGAGGAAGAAGCCUCAGCUGGGACUUGAUCCCAGGACCCUGAGAUCAUGACCUGAGCUGAAAUCAGAUGCUUAACCCACUUAGCCACCCAGUGCCCUAAUAAUUUUUUUUUCAAAUUCCACAUAUGAGAUCAUGUGAUAUUUAUCUUUUUCAGUCUGACUUACUUCCCUGAAAUAUUAUAACACUGGAUUUAUCACCAUUCAGAUGAAUGCUAGACUGUGGUAUGCUUUUGUCCACAUUCCAGUAUAUUUAGACUGAGGGAUAAUUUCAGUAUCCAGCCUGUCAAAAGAUAUUGACUUCACUGUACAUGAAAAGAGUGG